GCUGGGGUGGUGAAACUGGCAGACACGCAGCGUUUAGGGCGCUGUGAGCUUUACGCUCUUGCGGGUUCGACUCCCGCCCCCAGCA
This 85-nucleotide transfer RNA is filed under the name bacterium. RNAcentral describes it as "tRNA-Leu". It matches the Rfam family "tRNA". Rfam says of the family: Transfer RNA (tRNA) molecules are approximately 80 nucleotides in length. The record is from RNAcentral.